This 368-nucleotide ribosomal RNA is filed under the name uncultured organism. RNAcentral describes it as "bacterial SSU rRNA". It matches the Rfam family "Bacterial small subunit ribosomal RNA", at positions 526 to 896 of the family's 1533-position model. The record is from RNAcentral.
CGGAGGGUGCAAGCGUUAUCCGGAUUUACUGGGUUUAAAGGGUGUGUAGGCGGGCUUUUAAGUCAGUGGUGAAAUCUCCGAGCUCAACUUGGAAACUGCCAUUGAUACUAUUAGUCUUGAAUUUUGUUGAGGUAGGCGGAAUAAGUCAUGUAGCGGUGAAAUGCAUAGAUAUGACUUAGAACACCAAUUGCGAAGGCAGCUUGCUAAACAAACAUUGACGCUGAGGCACGAAAGCGUGGGGAUCAAACAGGAUUAGAUACCCUGGUAGUCCACGCCCUAAACGAUGAUUACUCGACAUACGCGAUACACAGUGUGUGUCUGAGCGAAAGCAUUAAGUAAUCCACCUGGGAAGUACGACCGCAAGGUUG